AUUGAACGCUGGCGGCAUGCCUUACACAUGCAAGUCGAACGGUAACGGGCCUUCGGGUGCCGACGAGUGGCGAACGGGUGAGUAAUGCAUCGGAACGUACCUUUCAGUGGGGGAUAACGUAGCGAAAGUUACGCUAAUACCGCAUAUUCCGUGAGCAGGAAAGCAGGGGAUCGCAAGACCUUGCGCUGAUUGAGCGGCCGAUGUCAGAUUAGCUAGUUGGUGAGGUAAAGGCUCACCAAGGCGACGAUCUGUAGCGGGUCUGAGAGGAUGAUCCGCCACACUGGAACUGAGACACGGUCCAGACUCCUACGGGAGGCAGCAGUGGGGAAUUUUGGACAAUGGGGGCAACCCUGAUCCAGCCAUGCCGCGUGAGUGAAGAAGGCCUC
This 386-nucleotide ribosomal RNA is filed under the name uncultured bacterium. RNAcentral describes it as "bacterial SSU rRNA". It matches the Rfam family "Bacterial small subunit ribosomal RNA", at positions 30 to 418 of the family's 1533-position model. The record is from RNAcentral.